RNAcentral lists this ribosomal RNA (482 nucleotides) under uncultured bacterium. Its description in RNAcentral is "partial 16S ribosomal RNA". It matches the Rfam family "Bacterial small subunit ribosomal RNA", at positions 29 to 523 of the family's 1533-position model. The record is from RNAcentral.
AGUGAACGUUGGCGGCGUGGAUUAGGCAUGCAAGUCGAUCGAGAACCGUAGCAAUACGGGGACAGCGGCGAAAGGGACAGUAAUGUGUAGGUACCUACCCCGACGUCUGGGAUAGCUGCGGGAAACUGCAGGUAAUACCGGAUAAUGUCUUCGGACCAAAGGUGUGAUUCCACCUUGGGAGGGGCCUGCAUCCUAUUAGCUAGUUGGCGGGGUAAUGGCCCACCAAGGCAACGAUGGGUAGCGGGUGUGAGAGCACGACCUGCGUCAUUGGGACUGAGACACCGCCCAGACACCUACGGGUGGAUGCAGUCGAGGAUCUUCGGCAAUGGGCGAAAGCCUGACCGAGCGUCGCCGCGUGCGGGAUGAAGGCCUUCGGGUUGUAAACCGCUGUCGUAGAGGAGGAAAUGCAGGGGGGUUCUCCCUUCUGUUUGACCUAUUCUAGGAGGAAGGACGGGCUAAGUUCGUGCCAGCCGCCGCAGUAA